RNAcentral lists this long non-coding RNA (656 nucleotides) under Struthio camelus australis. RNAcentral's name for it is "lncRNA (ENSSCUG00000006227.1)". Lineage: Eukaryota; Metazoa; Chordata; Aves; Struthioniformes; Struthionidae. The record is from RNAcentral.
CCCCCCCCCAGGGUCUCCGGAAGUUUAACGUGACUCUAUUUGUCUUUGACCAGGAGUCUCAGAUGAUGAAAAAGAUGAUGAACCAGCUUCUGCUAAGAAACGUAAACUAGACUCUGGGGAGCAGACAAAGAGGAAGAAGUUAUAAGCGGGGCAUGCUGCAUUUGGCCAAAAUGAGAAUUUCGGUGAACUUGGAUUCUGCUGCUGGAAUGAGAAACAAAUACAUGUUUACCAAAUUUCUCUCUCCUAUCGGACUCUACAGUCACUCCUUGCUGAUUUCCCAGCUGAUGGGCUACUUCCAUGAUAUAUUCCCCAUCUUCCUGCUCUGCCAGUUUGGAAAGGAUUCAAACAACGGUAGUUGUACACAGCUCCGGGUGCCCCAUGCACAAGAUUUCUUUCUUUUAGCACAAACCCAAAUAUCUAACCCCCUCAUCAUAGCGAGCCCCAAGACUAGAGAGGGUGUCAUAGGCAAAGCUUAUGAAGUUAGAUGCCACAUCUGUUCACGGUCUCUUGAAAUGUUCCUUCCUUCAGGAAGUGCCAGGACCAGAAUAAGCUGCCCUCUAGGUUGCAGAGGGAAACCUCUCAAUCCCUUAGUAAUGAUCCUGCUUAGUUCCAGGUGGAAUCAAGAUCUCUUCAUGGCAGUCGUAUUUAUCCAUUAA